CAUCAGCCGCCAGGCGAGCAUUGUCAAUCUGCAGCACGAUGCUGGCAUUGUCAAUUGUGGCUGCCAGGAUCUGGAGGUGAUAGUGAGCUCCAUGAGCAAGCACCCACCACAGAGCCC
RNAcentral lists this microRNA precursor (117 nucleotides) under Cricetulus griseus (Chinese hamster). Its description in RNAcentral is "mir-492". The record is from RNAcentral. Lineage: Eukaryota; Metazoa; Chordata; Mammalia; Rodentia; Cricetidae.